GCUGGAGUGGCGGAAUUGGUAUACGCGCUAGCCUUAGGAGCUAGUGCCCGCAAGGGCUUAAGAGUUCAAGUCUCUUCUCCAGCA
RNAcentral lists this transfer RNA (84 nucleotides) under Candidatus Magasanikiibacteriota bacterium. Its description in RNAcentral is "tRNA-Leu". It matches the Rfam family "tRNA". From Rfam's summary of the family: Transfer RNA (tRNA) molecules are approximately 80 nucleotides in length. Their secondary structure includes four short double-helical elements and three loops (D, anti-codon, and T loops). The record is from RNAcentral. Lineage: Bacteria; Candidatus Magasanikiibacteriota.